This 742-nucleotide ribosomal RNA is filed under the name uncultured bacterium. Its description in RNAcentral is "bacterial SSU rRNA". It matches the Rfam family "Bacterial small subunit ribosomal RNA", at positions 8 to 796 of the family's 1533-position model. The record is from RNAcentral.
AGAGUUUGAUCAUGGCUCAGAACGAACGCUGGCGGCAUGCCUAACACAUGCAAGUCGAACGAAGGCUUCGGCCUUAGUGGCGCACGGGUGCGUAACGCGUGGGAAUCUGCCCCUCGGUUCGGAAUAACAGUUAGAAAUGACUGCUAAUACCGGAUAAUGACUUCGGUCCAAAGAUUUAUCGCCGAGGGAUGAGCCCGCGUAAGAUUAGCUUGUUGGUGGGGUAAUGGCCUACCAAGGCGACGAUCUUUAGCUGGUCUGAGAGGAUGAUCAGCCCACUGGGACUGAGACACGGCCCCAGACUCCUACGGGAGGCAGCAGUGGGGAAUAUUGGACAAUGGGCGAAAGCCUGAUCCAGCAAUGCCGCGUGAGUGAUGAAGGCCUUAGGGUUGUAAAGCUCUUUUACCAGGGAUGAUAAUGACAGUACCUGGAGAAUAAGCUCCGGCUAACUCCGUGCCAGCAGCCGCGGUAAUACGGAGGGAGCUAGCGUUGUUCGGAAUUACUGGGCGUAAAGCGCACGUAGGCGGCUAUUCAAGUCAGAGGUGAAAGCCCGGGGCUCAACCCCGGAACUGCCUUUGAAACUAGAUAGCUAGAAUCUUGGAGAGGUCAGUGGAAUUCCGAGUGUAGAGGUGAAAUUCGUAGAUAUUCGGAAGAACACCAGUGGCGAAGGCGACUGACUGGACAAGUAUUGACGCUGAGGUGCGAAAGCGUGGGGAGCAAACAGGAUUAGAUACCCUAGUAGUCC